RNAcentral lists this ribosomal RNA (510 nucleotides) under uncultured bacterium. RNAcentral's name for it is "partial 16S ribosomal RNA". It matches the Rfam family "Bacterial small subunit ribosomal RNA", at positions 28 to 507 of the family's 1533-position model. The record is from RNAcentral.
GACGAACGCUGGCGGCGUGCUUAACACAUGCAAGUCGAACGAAGAGCGACGGAAGCUUGCUUCUAUCAAUCUUAGCGGCGAACGGGUGAGUAACGCGUAAUCAACCUGCCCUUCAGAGGGGGACAACAGUUGGAAACGACUGCUAAUACCGCAUACGAUCUAACCACGGCAUCGAGGAUAGAUGAAAGGUGGCCUCUACAUGUAAGCUAUCACUGAAGGAGGGGAUUGCGUCUGAUUAGCUAGUUGGAGGGGUAACGGCCCACCAAGGCGAUGAUCAGUAGCCGGUCUGAGAGGAUGAACGGCCACAUUGGGACUGAGACACGGCCCAGACUCCUACGGGAGGCAGCAGUGGGGAAUCUUCCGCAAUGGACGAAAGUCUGACGGAGCAACGCCGCGUGAGUGAUGACGGCCUUCGGGUUGUAAAGCUCUGUUAAUCGGGACGAAAGGCCUUCUUGCGAAUAGUGAGAAGGAUUGACGGUACCGGAAUAGAAAGCCACGGCUAACUACGUG